This 402-nucleotide ribosomal RNA is filed under the name uncultured prokaryote. RNAcentral's name for it is "bacterial SSU rRNA". It matches the Rfam family "Bacterial small subunit ribosomal RNA", at positions 355 to 774 of the family's 1533-position model. The record is from RNAcentral.
UAAGGAAUAUUGGGCAAUGGAGGCAACCCUGACCCAGCGACGCCGCGUGAGGGAAGAAGGCCUUCGGGUCGUAAAGCGCUUUUUGAGAGGAUGAGGAAGGACAGUACUCUUAGAAUAAGCCUCGGCUAACUACGUGCCAGCAGCCGCGGUAAUACGUAGGUGGCAAGCGUUGUCCGGAAUUAUUGGGCGUAAAGGGAGCGCAGGUGGGAAUGUAAGUCAGUCUUAAAAGUGCGAGGCUCAACCUCGUGAUGGGACAGAAACUACAUUUCUUGAGUGCAGGAGAGGAAAGUGGAAUUCCUAGUGUAGCGGUGAAAUGCGUAGAUAUUCGGAGGAACACCAGUGGCGAAGGCGGCCUACUGGGCUCUAACUGACGCUGAGGCUCGAAAGUGUGGGGAGCAAACA